AGCGAACGCUGGCGGCAGGCUUAACACAUGCAAGUCGAACGCCCCGCAAGGGGAGUGGCAGACGGGUGAGUAACACGUGGGAACGUACCCUUUGGUUCGGAAUAACUUGGGGAAACUCAAGCUAAUACCGGAUAAGCCCGUAUGGGGAAAGGUUUACUGCCGAAGGAUCGGCCCGCGUCUGAUUAGCUAGUUGGUGAGGUAACGGCUCACCAAGGCGACGAGCAGUAGCUGGUCUGAGAGGAUGAUCAGCCACACUGGGACUGAGACACGGCCCAGACUCCUACGGGAGGCAGCAGUGGGGAAUAUUGGACAAUGGGGGCAACCCUGAUCCAGCCAGGCCGCGUGAGUGAUGAAGGCCUUAGGGUUGUAAAGCUCUUUUGCCCGGGACGAUAAUGACUGUACCGGGAGAAUAAGCCCCGGCUAACUUCGUGCCAGCCGCCGCCGUAA
This 447-nucleotide ribosomal RNA is filed under the name uncultured bacterium. RNAcentral describes it as "partial 16S ribosomal RNA". It matches the Rfam family "Bacterial small subunit ribosomal RNA", at positions 29 to 523 of the family's 1533-position model. The record is from RNAcentral.